Molecule: long non-coding RNA, 1072 nt
Filed under: Homo sapiens (human)
Lineage: Eukaryota; Metazoa; Chordata; Mammalia; Primates; Hominidae
Description: H19 imprinted maternally expressed transcript
Source: RNAcentral
AUUCUCUGGUCCAGGAUCCUUGUGUUGCUGGAGAUAAUCCAUUAUCGUGGGUGCAGCAGACACCCUGCGGCUUGUGGACUCGCCAGGUCUCCAGCUGGGGUGGACGUGCCCACCAGCUGCCGAAGGCCAAGACGCCAGGUCCGGUGGACGUGACAAGCAGGACAUGACAUGGUCCGGUGUGACGGCGAGGACAGAGGAGGCGCGUCCGGCCUUCCUGAACACCUUAGGCUGGUGGGGCUGCGGCAAGAAGCGGGUCUGUUUCUUUACUUCCUCCACGGAGUCGGCACACUAUGGCUGCCCUCUGGGCUCCCAGAACCCACAACAUGAAAGAAAUGGUGCUACCCAGCUCAAGCCUGGGCCUUUGAAUCCGGACACAAAACCCUCUAGCUUGGAAAUGAAUAUGCUGCACUUUACAACCACUGCACUACCUGACUCAGGAAUCGGCUCUGGAAGGUGAAGCUAGAGGAACCAGACCUCAUCAGCCCAACAUCAAAGACACCAUCGGAACAGCAGCGCCCGCAGCACCCACCCCGCACCGGCGACUCCAUCUUCAUGGCCACCCCCUGCGGCGGACGGUUGACCACCAGCCACCACAUCAUCCCAGAGCUGAGCUCCUCCAGCGGGAUGACGCCGUCCCCACCACCUCCCUCUUCUUCUUUUUCAUCCUUCUGUCUCUUUGUUUCUGAGCUUUCCUGUCUUUCCUUUUUUCUGAGAGAUUCAAAGCCUCCACGACUCUGUUUCCCCCGUCCCUUCUGAAUUUAAUUUGCACUAAGUCAUUUGCACUGGUUGGAGUUGUGGAGACGGCCUUGAGUCUCAGUACGAGUGUGCGUGAGUGUGAGCCACCUUGGCAAGUGCCUGUGCAGGGCCCGGCCGCCCUCCAUCUGGGCCGGGUGACUGGGCGCCGGCUGUGUGCCCGAGGCCUCACCCUGCCCUCGCCUAGUCUGGAAGCUCCGACCGACAUCACGGAGCAGCCUUCAAGCAUUCCAUUACGCCCCAUCUCGCUCUGUGCCCCUCCCCACCAGGGCUUCAGCAGGAGCCCUGGACUCAUCAUCAAUAAACACUGUUACAGCAA